GGCUGGCCAAAUUCGUCCGCCGGACUCGGAAUGGCGUGAGACUUUGCGAGGCACCUCCGUGUGCCAAAAAUAGGCCGCGGGCACAGCCGUGCCUAAAAAUAACCCCCCGAAGGCCGGGGAGCCAAGUUCGUCCAGCGGAAAAAGGCCACAAAAACGGGUGGGCUAUAGCCUUCGGGAGUGGGGCUGGCCCACUUCGUCCGCCGGACUCGAAAUGGCGCGAGACUUUGCGAGGUGCCUCCGUGUGCCAAAAAUAGGCCGCGGGCGCGGCCGCGCCCAAAAAUAACACCCCGAAGACCGGGGCGCCAAGUUCGUCCAGCAGAAAAAGGCCACAAAAACGGGUGGGCUAUAGCCUUGGGGGGUGGGGC
This 365-nucleotide long non-coding RNA is filed under the name Citrus x clementina. Its description in RNAcentral is "Citrus clementina (C. clementina) long non-coding RNA (CCLE_LNC003810)". Lineage: Eukaryota; Viridiplantae; Streptophyta; Magnoliopsida; Sapindales; Rutaceae. The record is from RNAcentral.